Long non-coding RNA from Lemur catta (Ring-tailed lemur), 2012 nucleotides. RefSeq lists it as uncharacterized. Lineage: Eukaryota; Metazoa; Chordata; Mammalia; Primates; Lemuridae. The transcript has 7 exons. The record is from RefSeq and is a predicted model, not a curated record.
GGAGGGAGCCGGGAAGCGGAAGCGGCGAGCGCGCCGGGAGCGCAGCUGCGGGCCUGGGGGCGGCAGGAGCCGCGGAGCCGGCCCGGGAGCGGGGCUGCCGGAGCGGGCGGCCGAGACAAUGGCGACGAUAUCUUUGUUAUCUGACAAGAGUCAUCCUAAACAAAAUACAUCAGCCAAGAAAGACGGUUUAAAAAAUGGUGAUAUAAAUGUAGACUUUGAUCAACUGAAACUUGAUGAUAAAGUUUUUCUACAAGCAGAAAUGAAUGCUGAACCCUUACGAAGAGAUAAAGGUUAUUUGGUACAUAUUGGUGGUCUCUGUCCUUCAGUAUCUGAGGCUGAUUGAAGGUCUCAUUUGCAGAAAUACCAAGUUUCUGAAAUUUCAAUUUAUGAUUCUUCUACUAAUUACAGACAUGCAUCUCUUGCUUUCCAAAAAAAAGAAAACAGUGAUGUAAAGAUGGCUGUGAAAGGAAUGAUGCCAAAAAGAGUGAAAACUCAGCCCAGAAGAGGGAAGAACAGAUGGACUCAAGAGACAUUUGAGGGGACCAUUCAGUCUAGCCUGGGAGGGAAAAAAAUGAAACUGCAAAGAAAUGUCAAGCACAUGAACACAGCUAGACAACAAUCCAAGGCAAGAUGAAUGUCAGAAGAUUUUGGCAUCCUGGAAAAAACUCACCAUGGACUUUGGUUAUUCAGAAUUAGCUACUUCUGUAAGGCUAUCAUGUAAAAUAAAAUAAUAAUGAUAACAGUGGUAAAGUAUACCUGCCAUCCACUUUCACAAUAAGAUACAUAAGAAGAAUAAGUCAAUAUAGAUUGAAAGGAGAAUACAAUGAAUAAUUCCAUGAAGAAUCCUUGGAAUUACAUAAGCAGCAUAAUAACAGGUAGUUUUUCAAACUAACUUAUUUACAAAGAAGUAACUUAGGAAUGGCCAUUCUCCUCCUCUCUAAUAAUUCUAAGAGAGAGAGACAUAGCAAACUUUAACUUAAAUAAACAGUUCCUUGAAAUUGGGCUUCAACAAGUUAAAUUAUAAUACAUAAAAAAAGAAAUAAUAUGUACCUAGUUGCAACUUCAAAGUCAAGCUACACAUGAAGAGGACUUACAGUUUGGGCUUAUAUAUAUCUGUAGCAACAGGAAGAACUCCAGGAGAACUCAGAAAUUUCAAUGCCAAACAUGUCACAAGAGGUCAGAGGUCACAUUUUUCUAACUGGGGUUUGACCCUAAAGUAAGCAAUAUAUGUAAUUAAUUGAUGCCCUAUUCUGAAACAUUAACUUGAAUAGGACUAGUCUACCAAUCUGCUGUUAGUCUAAUCAUGCUAGUCACAAUGUGAUCAUCUCUAAAAACACAAAGUCAAAGUUACUCAAGACAGAAAGGAAACAUAUAGGUUGACUAUUUUGAUUGCUUUUUCCCAGUAGUCAAUAAAAAAUAAGUUAACCUCCCCAAUCACACUGCCUAGCUAAUAAUGCCAGUAGAGACUAGUAAAAAAUCCAUAUCUGUUUCAAAAGCAUGUCUUUAAACUAUAACUAUUACUUAAAAUAAUUAUAAACUUCUAAUGCCAAAUUAGAUGUGCAUAAUUUGUUUGGAUUAAAGAAAAGGAAGUGAUAUAUGUAACUUGAUUUUAUUGGACAUUAAACUAUACAUGGCAUUUAGAGAAAUAACAUGACAAUGAGUUAUGAAUCAUAUUAGGAAUCUGCAUGAUUGAAGGCUUAAAUUUCACUUGUUACUGAUUCUUCUAUGAUUCUUCACCCUUUACAUCUUGAUUGGAAAUCUGUAAAACAAGGGCAUCAUCUGAAGCAUAAAAAUAUUUUAUAAAUAUUUAAUAGAAAUGUUAAGUAACUGAGUAUUUCAAAGCUUUAAUGACACCUAUCCAAAUUACAUUAAAGUGAUGAAUUCAUGUGACAACUAUAGUGUUUACAGACAUUUAAACUGAAAAGAGGACUACUAUUAUGUGUAUCUUCAUACAACCUUCAACUGACUACUGUAUUUCCUUUUUUAAUAAUAAAAUGACUCAAUUGUUUCAA